RNAcentral lists this ribosomal RNA (437 nucleotides) under uncultured bacterium. RNAcentral's name for it is "partial 16S ribosomal RNA". It matches the Rfam family "Bacterial small subunit ribosomal RNA", at positions 30 to 507 of the family's 1533-position model. The record is from RNAcentral.
AGCGAACGCUGGCGGCAGGCUUAACACAUGCAAGUCGAGCGGGCAGCCUUGGGGUGUCAGCGGCAGACGGGUGAGUAACGCGUGGGAACGAGCCCUGCGACCCGGAAUAACCCAGGGAAACACUAGCUAAAACCGGAUACGUGCGAGAGCAGAAGGGUUUAUCGGCCGAAGGGUCGGCGCGCGUCUGAUUAGCUAGGUGGUGAGGUGAUGGCUCACCAAGGCGACGAUCAGUAGCUGGUCUGCGAGGAUGAUCAGGCACACUGGGACUGCGACGCGGCCCCGACUGCUACGGGAGGCAGCAGUGUGGUAUAUUGGAGGCUGAGGGCAACCCUGAUCCAGCCGUGCCGCGUGAGUGAUGCCGCCCUUAGGGUUGUAAAGCUGUUUUCUUCGGGACGAUAAUGACGGUACCGGAGGAAUAAGCACCGGCUAACUUCGUG